This 86-nucleotide transfer RNA is filed under the name Pyricularia grisea. RNAcentral describes it as "tRNA-Ser". It matches the Rfam family "tRNA". Rfam says of the family: Transfer RNA (tRNA) molecules are approximately 80 nucleotides in length. Their secondary structure includes four short double-helical elements and three loops (D, anti-codon, and T loops). Lineage: Eukaryota; Fungi; Ascomycota; Sordariomycetes; Magnaporthales; Pyriculariaceae. The record is from RNAcentral.
AGAGAAUUGGCCGAGUGGUUUAAGGCGGUAAGUUUGAGUUUUAUUGGGUCUUUUAGGCCUCAUCCGUUCGAAUCGGAUAUUCUCUG